RNAcentral lists this ribosomal RNA (504 nucleotides) under uncultured soil bacterium. RNAcentral's name for it is "bacterial SSU rRNA". It matches the Rfam family "Bacterial small subunit ribosomal RNA", at positions 26 to 518 of the family's 1533-position model. The record is from RNAcentral.
AGGACGAACGCUGGCGGCGCGCUUAACACAUGCAAGUCGAGCGAGAACCGGGGCUUCGGCCCCGGGGACAGCGGCGAACGGGUGAGUAACACGUGGGUAAUCAACCCUCGGCACCGGGAUAGCCCGAGGAAACUCGGAUUAAUACCGGAUGGCCCCUCCGACUCUCGAGUCGGUCGGGAAAGGUAGCUUAGGCCUCUGGCCGGGGACGAGCCCGCGGCGGAUUAGCUUGUUGGUGGGGUAAUGGCCUACCAAGGCGACGAUCCGUAGCUGGUCUGAGAGGACGAUCAGCCACACUGGGACUGAGACACGGCCCAGACUCCUACGGGAGGCAGCAGUGGGGAAUCUUGCCCAAUGGGCGAAAGCCUGAGGCAGCGACGCCGCGUGAGGGAAGAAGGCCUCGGUUGUAAACCUCUUUCAGGAGGGACGAAGCUACGUCGGUUAAUAGACCCAGAGGUGACGGUACCUCCAAGAAGAAGCCCCGGCUAACUACGUGCCAGCAGCCGC